RNAcentral lists this transfer RNA (63 nucleotides) under Ismarus sp. ZJUH_2016020. Its description in RNAcentral is "tRNA-Tyr". The record is from RNAcentral. Lineage: Eukaryota; Metazoa; Arthropoda; Insecta; Hymenoptera; Diapriidae.
AGUAAAAUGUCUGAUUAAAGUAAUAAAUUGUAAAUUUAUUUAUAGAUUAAAAUCUUUUUACUA